AGUGGGCACAUCGACUUCUUCUACACCGCAGAUGGAUGACUUAACCCGAGAGAUAGAGAGACUUCACAAUCUAUUUCAUUCAUCUCUUAAGGUGAUUCGAACAGACAUCAGGGACUCCAAAGACUUUGUAUCAGCUGAUCUAGAUGGACUCAGACUUACAGUGCGGGGUAUCCUGUCUCAGCUUGAUGGUAUUAGGACUCAGCUUCAGUCUAGGUCCUCUACAUCUAGUGAGCCUGCAUUUGUUCAGUCCAUUGCUUUCCGUCUUCUGGCAUCUUCAUCUCGGAUCAGACCCUUCAAUCAAGGAUGAGGCUGAUCAUGCUUCACCUAUCUUGAUCUCAUGAUCGAUGUCCAGUCUCACUGAUUUCAUCUUUUUAUAUUAGAUUACUUAGUUAUAUUUUAUAGAUUGGAUGUAUGAGAGCUUUAUGUUCAUUAUGACUCUUGUAACCUCUAUUUUGGUGUUAAUAAAUGA
RNAcentral lists this long non-coding RNA (469 nucleotides) under Elaeis guineensis (African oil palm). RNAcentral's name for it is "long non-coding RNA (EGUI_LNC025957)". The record is from RNAcentral. Lineage: Eukaryota; Viridiplantae; Streptophyta; Magnoliopsida; Arecales; Arecaceae.